AUCUAGCUGACGAGUCCCAAAUGGGAUGAAACGCGCAUCAUGUAU
Schistosoma rodhaini is the source of this 45-nucleotide non-coding RNA. The record is from Rfam. NCBI's taxonomy places the organism in Eukaryota, Metazoa, Platyhelminthes, Trematoda, Strigeidida, Schistosomatidae.